CUCAUGUUGUUAUGAAAACAUUCGCGUAUUAGAAUGAUUGGGAAAGAUCACGUAACAUUUAAGCAGCUUUCUGUCUGUACCGCCUUAAUUUACAUGCUUUCACUCACUUUAAUUCUCAG
Long non-coding RNA from Sinocyclocheilus rhinocerous, 119 nucleotides. RefSeq lists it as uncharacterized. The transcript has 3 exons. The record is from RefSeq and is a predicted model, not a curated record. NCBI's taxonomy places the organism in Eukaryota, Metazoa, Chordata, Actinopteri, Cypriniformes, Cyprinidae.